GAUGAACGCUAGCUACAGGCUUAACACAUGCAAGUCGCGGGGCAGCAUGGGGGUUGCUUGCAAUCCCCGAUGGCGACCGGCGCACGGGUGAGUAACGCGUAUUCAACCUGCCCUUCACCACGGGAUGACCCGGCGAAAGUCGGACUAAUACCGUAUGUUGUCCAUUGACGGCAUCCGAUUUGGACGAAAGGCUUGGCGGUGAGGGAUGGGGAUGCGUCCGAUUAGCCAGACGGCGGGGUAACGGCCCACCGUGGCUACGAUCGGUAGGGGUUCUGAGAGGAAGGUCCCCCACACUGGAACUGAGACACGGUCCAGACUCCUACGGGAGGCAGCAGUGAGGAAUAUUGGUCAAUGGGCGUAAGCCUGAACCAGCCAAGUAGCGUGCAGGAUGACGGCCCUAUGGGUUGUAAACUGCUUUUAUGCGGGGAUAAAGUGGCCCACGUGUGGGCUUUUGCAGGUACCGCAUGAAUAAGGACCGGCUAAUUCCGU
RNAcentral lists this ribosomal RNA (489 nucleotides) under uncultured bacterium. RNAcentral's name for it is "partial 16S ribosomal RNA". It matches the Rfam family "Bacterial small subunit ribosomal RNA", at positions 28 to 506 of the family's 1533-position model. The record is from RNAcentral.